CAAAUGAAUUGACGGGGGCCCGCACAAGCGGUGGAGCAUGUGGUUUAAUUCGAUGCAACGCGAAGAACCUUACCUGGUCUUGACAUCCACAGAACUUUCCAGAGAUGGAUUGGUGCCUUCGGGAACUGUGAGACAGGUGCUGCAUGGCUGUCGUCAGCUCGUGUUGUGAAAUGUUGGGUUAAGUCCCGCAACGAGCGCAACCCUUAUCUUUUGUUGCCAGCGGUCCGGCCGGGAACUCAAAGGAGACUGCCAGUGAUAAACUGGAGGAAGGUGGGGAUGACGUCAAGUCAUCAUGGCCC
Molecule: ribosomal RNA, 299 nt
Filed under: Escherichia coli
Lineage: Bacteria; Pseudomonadati; Pseudomonadota; Gammaproteobacteria; Enterobacterales; Enterobacteriaceae
Description: partial 16S ribosomal RNA
Rfam family: Bacterial small subunit ribosomal RNA
Source: RNAcentral